UACAGAGGUCUCAAGCGUUGUUCGGAUUCAUUGGGCGUAAAGGGUGUGUAGGUGGCGCCGUAAGUCAGGUGUGAAAUCUCGGGGCUUAACUCCGAAACUGCAUUUGAUACUGCGGUGCUUGAGGACUGGAGAGGAGACUGGAAUUUAUGGUGUAGCAGUGAAAUGCGUAGAUAUCAUAAGGAAGACCAGUGGCGAAGGCGGGUCUCUAGACAGUUCCUGACGCUGAGGCACGAAGGUCAGGGGAGCAAACGGG
This 253-nucleotide ribosomal RNA is filed under the name uncultured bacterium. RNAcentral describes it as "partial 16S ribosomal RNA". It matches the Rfam family "Bacterial small subunit ribosomal RNA", at positions 524 to 776 of the family's 1533-position model. The record is from RNAcentral.